This is a small nuclear RNA of Rattus rattus (black rat), 112 nucleotides long. Lineage: Eukaryota; Metazoa; Chordata; Mammalia; Rodentia; Muridae. The record is from RefSeq and is a predicted model, not a curated record.
UGGUGCUCGCUUCAGCAGCACCAAUUUAACUAACAUUGGAACGAUACAGAGAAGGUUAGCAUGGCCCCUGCACAAGGAUGACACGCGAAUUCGCGAAGCGUUCCAUAUUUAA